This 240-nucleotide ribosomal RNA is filed under the name uncultured bacterium. Its description in RNAcentral is "partial 16S ribosomal RNA". It matches the Rfam family "Bacterial small subunit ribosomal RNA", at positions 94 to 334 of the family's 1533-position model. The record is from RNAcentral.
AGCGGCGGACGGGUGAGUAACGCGUGGGUAACCUGCCUCAUACAGGGGGAUAACAGUUGGAAACGGCUGCUAAUACCGCAUAAGCGCACAGUACCGCAUGGUACCGUGUGAAAAACUCCGGUGGUGUGAGAUGGACCCGCGUCUGAUUAGCUAGUUGGUGGGGUAACGGCCUACCAAGGCGACGAUCAGUAGCCGACCUGAGAGGGUGACCGGCCACAUUGGGACUGAGACACGGCCCAA